GGGGGGGUAAGAUGUACGCAGUCCAUACCUCUACCUCUGAUGAGGUAGAAAGGCUGUUUCCGAAAGACCCCCGGCUCAAGUCACGAGACAUCAUACAAACACAUAGUACAGCACAGAAGCAGAUGACGUAACAUAGAUACGGCACCCAUAAAGAAUAUAGAACAGAGUAAAGCAGAUGUAAUUAUGCAAAAGAUGACUCAUCAGUUCUCUAACACAUUCGAUCCCGAUGAAAAAUUAUAUUAUGUAUAUAGAAUUAAAAUUAUAUUUUAUAUAUAUAGUUAAUGUUGAACCUUUUUACACUAGCGACCCGAACUGGCCCUAAUCCUCUACAAUUGAAUACUAAAAAAAAAAAUACAUUCAGUUGUAAGUUGAUAUUUUGAAACCAGAUAUGUAAUAAUAAUUAAAUGUUAAAAUUCAACAAAUGUUCGAGAUGCCUGUUGGAAACCACAACUGUGUUGAUAACCUAUUCAAAAAUCUUCUUUCUAAAAAAUUAUGAGUCAUGUAGUCGAUAAAGUCAAUUUCAGAGAGAUCUAAAACAAAUUGAACAUGAUAAGAUUCCUAAAUAGAAAAAGGAGACAAUAUUAGAAUAAUACAUUAGCAAUCAAGUAUUUAUAGUUAUAUAAAGCAUGAAUGUUGAUAGACCUCUGUCUGAAUUUUUUUAUACUUGAAUCUUAAUAUAUUUAAAUUCUUAUCGUCAAAGUAAAUGAGCAAAACACAUUUUAAAACAGGGAGAAAGAAGGGAAAUAUGAUAAAGAUUACAUUUUUUAAGAUUUGAUAGUGAGUUUGUACUUGAAAGGGUGUUAAUCAUCAAGAUGAGCAGAGAAUUAAUAUGGAAGUCCAUAACAAAGUCAAUUGAUUUGGAUACACAACUCUUCUGUUUACUGUAUUGCCCGAUUUGUUAUUGUCUGACCCCAAAUUUGCAAUUGAUAUAACGAUUGAAAUCAUAGAAAAUAUAUUAAAAUGGAGUAUAAGAGAAAAUAAAAAAUGCACAAAUAAAAAAGUUGUUGAUAACCAAUUCAUUUAUCGUCCAUAGUAUUCUCUUAACUGAAUUCUAUUUAUAUGCAAUGAAUGAAUUCUUUUAAUGAUAAACAAAACUUCAUCGUAUUGUUGAUUUGUACAUGUUGAUAAAGAUUUGUAUUGAAGAGAAAUUUUACGCGAAAAUUGUAAAAUUUUGCAACUAUACGUACUUUGAAUUCAAAAUUUAUAUUGUAAAAGUUUUUUCGGUCAUUUUGAAUACAAUUUAAGCAUUAAAGGUAAUAAAACUCACAUAAGCAUGAUAACUGCAAAAAAUAGAAAUGCAAGUCAAGUAUCACUAUUAGAAAGCGUCGGCAGAAUAUUUUUCCGCAUAUACAACACAACAAACCGCUUGUGAUUUAUAGAUAUGAAAUUUGUAAACAUGCUUAACAAAUUGAUUUAUUGGAAGGAAGCAACAUCAAGAACCAAAGAUGAAAUAUGAAUAAAUUUCAAACAUCAAAAUCAAAAUGUAAAGACGAAACCACUAACCUUGUUGGGUGCAAUGAAUUAAGGCGUGGAUAUAAUUUACUCAAACAAAAAAAACAAGAGAAGCUCUGCCCAAUAAAGAGCAAAAAAUGCAAAGUUGAAAGUGUUUUUAAGCAUAAGAAGAGGAUAGAACAACAAUUUCAAGAUGUACAUGGAGAUGACUUAAAUGGUGAAGGGGCGGCUGAAACCCCACCCCCCUCCCAAAUGGAUCGAAAAUACAAAUAUUUAUAGAGAAAUAUUAGAGCUUCAAAUUUUAGGUGGGAUCUUGAGUUUUUUUUAUUUUGAAUAUCAGUCAACCAUGAUGUUUUUGGAAUUGGCAACCGUGAAUUUGGAUGAACUUUGUCCUUCACGUGAUUGAUAUGGCUAUUUCGCAAAAAGCGAGAAGCAAACUUUGCCAUGGUGAAAGGAGGCUGUAGUUUUUCUCCAAAAGGAAAGGAAGAAGACGCGUGUGGUUUAGAGAGAGAGACGUUUUUUAUUUUGAGAAGAGAGAAACUUAGGCCUAGUUUUUAGGGUUUUGGGGGUAUUGUUGGUAUUUUAGGUAGAAUAAGUGAGGGUAUAAGAGGUAGUUUAGGGUGAUUGGAAAUUAAUUGGGUUUGACCAACUAAUAAGAGCAAGACAAAUGGCGAGACAUGUGUUGAUUGUGGAAGAUGUGUUUCAAGCAUAUGUUGGGCAUGUUUUGUGACUAUUUGGUUCCUUGUUUGGCGCAAACAUAGUGUCUACGUGGCAAUGAGGUGAAACGGGAAAGAGAAAAUAUGAGCUUUAUGAGUUAUAUCUUGAAAUUGGGCCAAAUUUCAAGCAUAUUAUAAAAUGAACUGAUUUAAACUACCUUCUUUCUUAUGUUCUUUAAGCUUUCUAAAUUAAUUUAAAUAAUACUUUUAACAAGAACAUAUUAUAAAUAUCUGAAUAAAUUACAAAACUCAUUUGAUGAUAAAAUAUAAAUAACUUAAACAAAGUUGCACGAUAAAACGAUAAUGUUUAUAAAGAAAAAAAAUCGUCAAAUACUCAUUCGAUAAAAAUAAAUAUUUUUUUUGCAAAAGUUUAGAAAAUACGACGAUAAUUUAAAAUAUAACCAAAAUAGUGGUAGAUGAUGAUGAUAAUGAUAAUAAUAAUAAUAACAACAACAACAACAACCACAACAACAACAACAAUAUCGAUGAUUCUUAGUUUUAAAAAUACAAAUAGUUUCAGGACUUUCAUAAACUCCUAAUUAUAGGAAUAUCAUACAUAUAUUUUAUUUUUUUAAGCUAUCAAAACUAUUUAAAAGUGUAAAGAGAUGACUUGAAAGAAAGGUGGGGGAGAAGGACUGGUCAAACCCAAGGAUGAGAUGGAGCAGGUUGAAGGUCCUAAGGAUAAUGUUGUUAAGGUGGGAACUUUUAUAUCUGGUGAUAGUGUCGAACCUGGUCAUUCUCAGCCCUUGAACCUGGCAGGUAGAGGCCCUAGAGUUGUUGUUUUCCCGAAUCGUCCUCUCCUGCCACACCUUCAUCAGUUGCUUGUAGUUCUUCAACAGGUAUUAUUCUUAAGUAAUUCCUUAUUUUAAUAUUGUGAAAUAGGUGCAUAGUGUGUGGACUGAGCAGAACUCUUAUUUUUUAUAGAGUGGUAAAUUGCCAAAGAAUAAAAAGAAUGCAAAGUGAACAGAUAAUGGGAUGAUAAAAGAAUGAUGGAAAAUACGCCUUAACAGGGAAAGCAAGAACGAACGCUGGAAAAGAUAGGAUCUAAGUAGUUGUUUGUUUUAAGGAUAGAUCUGUAUGUCUUAAUUCUAGCAACUGCGACAAUAUUUUGGACCUAAUUUGAACACAAAGUUUGCUUCAGUUAUAUUUAUUUUACUUAGUAACUGAAAUGGUAAUUAUUUUACUUGACAUGCUCCUAUUCAACCAAUUUCAUUAUCUAUUGAGUGACACUCUUAAGUUCUUUCUGUUUGUUUUGGCUUCUUUGCAAUCAAAUACAUAAAGUGCUAACUAACUUGUAUACUCUUUUUUGGUAUGGGGGCAUAUUUUUUGUAUCUUCAUUUUUCACUGUUGCAUAUUCUCGUCUUGUAAGUUUUUAUGCUUUUUUGUGGAGCUUUUGUAGUACUUCAAUGAGCUCUGAUCCCAUCUUUGGUUUGUCAAAAUCUUAAGACAUGCAUUUUUUUAGAAUAGUAACUUAGUCUUAAGACAUGCAUUUGACUAUCUAUGUUUCUAAUUUGUAGUGUCGAUUUGUAGCAGAAUUUUAGAAAUCUUCUUCCGUUGACGGCAUUGAUUGAAGAAAAUUCAUAUGUUUGGAUAAGGGUGGGGAAGUAUCUUUGCAUGAUGGUAGUGCUUAUUUUUUGUUCUUUUUCUUUUGGCCCCUCUCGGUGCCUCGAUGAUGAUGUACCUCUUCUUAAGGUUGUUGUUGGGAGCCCUUUUUUUUUUCAGCAAGCUUGGUUUCACUUGAGUUGUGGUUAUCCAUUAUAAUGAACUAACACGUGAUCAUUACUCUUAUUGUAACAAUAUAUGAUGCUAUUUGACAUAGUCAUACUAUAUUGUACUAUCACUUCGGUAACUCCGAGAUUUUGUGGCAAAGCUUAUCGAGACAACGCUCUAAUAUCCUUGCUAUUAUUGUCUUAUUGCAGUUCCUUUUAUUUUAUACAUCCUCAUCCCCUUCAAAGUUAUUUCGGCUAACAAUUUGAUUUUAGCUACUUAUUCACUCUUUAAUUGCAUAGAUGGUAGACCGUUCCUUCUUUGAUUUUACUAUGUGAGUUAUGUGAUUUUACUAUGCAGUAAGUUAUGUGAUUUUCUUUAAUUGUCUGAUCACUUAAAGUUAUUUAUGUCUCUCUUGUUUGUUUUUUUCACUUAAUUUAUCUCUUUGCUAAAUAUUUUGGUGGAAAACAUUUACCACAGUACAAACACUGAAUACGUGUUCAACACCUGGUACAACGAAAAGGGGAAUAUUACUUGUGAGAUAUGCCAUCAGGUACAUGUCAUUCUUCUAGCUGGGGUGGGGGAAGGAGGUCAUGGUCUAAGGCAUGGUACGAGCCUAGGCAGGGGAGAGGGGCUCAUGGGGUUGGCCAUGGUGAUACACUACAAACAUGGAAAGUACCGAAAUCAGCCAACAACAAACUAGUUUUAACAAUACAACCCGAGGACCAGCAGAAACAAGCCCCAAAACGUGAAGAACACGAGAUUAACUAGUUGACAAAGAUGUAACAACAAGAAAACAGUGGCUACACGAGAUGAACAACAAGAUAAAAAUAACAAUAACCAAUGGUUUCAACAACACAAGAAACAACAAUAAAAGAUUACACUAAACAAAGGGAUAGAAAGAUAGACUACGUAAAGGCAUAAUCUUAAGAACCCAAGAGCAUAUUCCACUCUUAGACCCUUAACACUACACACUACAAUUCACCUAUCUCUUACGUGGCACAAGAUGGACCACGAUCUCCCAAGCAUCCAACGUUUCCAAGCUUGAAUCCAACACGAGUGAUUCCACACUCAAAUUGAAAUCCCUAGCUACAAUGUUCGGCCAUAGGGGCCUUUCUCACAAGAGAGAAAUGUCUAAGUGUCUACAACUUUCAAUAUUCAUCAAAACUAACUAUUAAAUGACCUAACAUAUUUUAUUAUAGUAGGUUACAAAAAUAGUAUGAAAUGUUCAAAAGACCCCUUAGUCAAAUGUUUCACUUUAGGCGCCCUUGGAGUGUAGUUUGUGGACUGUUUUGGAGCCUAUUUAGGCCCUCAUUUGCACUUCACUUGCGCACUCCAAGUCUCAGGUUCAAUACAUCUCACAGAUGUCCAUCUCCGUGGUUAUUCUUGUAUCAUCCUCCCUUUCUUAAAAAAGGGAUUCGACCUCAAAUCCGCUCCUUGCAAAAUCAAAGAAGAACAAACAAGCAAAAUAUCCUCAUGACAUGAGGGUUAAGAUUAGCAAAAUACACACAUCACAUGCCGUGCUGAGGUGGGACAAACUUGGAGUAUACCCACGGGUCCUUUGUGUUGAACAUGAAAACCUCAGUAUAAAUGGCACAAAGGAAGAGAUCAUCAUCAAUAAAAAGAGAUAAGGAAGAACCUUGUCUUCCUUCAUUAGCACCCACAAUCAAAUAUUGCUUGUCGUCUUGACCAAGCAUAAUCAAACAUUACUUGUAGUCUUGACGAAGCAUCAAGUGAGAAGUGUAGAAAUUCUCAUAUUCUGAGAGGGUCCCGAGGUCAAAUGGGAGAAGUAGACAAGGGUUUAAACCGAGACUAACCCUUCCUUCUCCUAGAAUGUCACUCCCACAAUCACGCAUGACAUUUUUCUUUAAGAGAAGACGAACAUUCAAGAAUAGAGAGACACGGCCUAAAAGUCCUACCUCAAAGAGACUUAUGCCAUCAUUUUCACUAUUUCCAUACACAUGAUCUCUAUGAACAAAACAACUAGCAAGGCUUUUACCACACAAGACGUUCAAAGACUCACGUGCACCAUCAAGAUCAACUCUAUAAACACCAUCACUAACUUGAGAUUUUUCAAGCACACCACACAUAUGCUCAAGUAGUGGAAUACAUUCAUGAGUAAGUUGAUCUUCAUUCACAUCCUCACUAGUUGUUGGCAACUCACAUACCAAUGUAGACUUACCUUGGUUCGCACAAGGGUCAACUGGUGUGUGAAUACCCUCAUUAAUUGGUAAUGGAGACUUACUCGAGUUAUAAGGGCUAGGACUAGAUGGACACAAAUUAUUCUUAUGAAAAGAAUCAAUUUCGUUAUCUAAAGGAUUAACUAGUGCUUGCAUACUUACAACAAGAGUUUGGUCCUCCCGCGACCUAACACCUCCAAGAGUAUUACAAAAGGACAACUCAAACACUUCUACUUAAGGUAAAUCCGCAACUACACCCUUUUGGCUAUUACUAGCCACACCACAGAAUCGACAUUUAUGGUAGUGUAGGAAGUAGUGCUUUUACCUUGGUGUGGGUCGGGGCAGCCCACUUCUUUCUUUGGGAAGCUCUCAUCUCAAGGUGUUUGGUCCUUAGGUCUUGAAUUUGUUGGGAUGAGUGUGGAUACCAAUUGGCGUAGCCUUUCAACGUGUCAUUUCAUGUCUUUAAUAUUGUCAUUGAUGUGAUCAAAUGUGGCAUCGAGAUUAUUGGCAGCCAUGGUACCUAAAAGAAAAACAACAACAACAACAAACCCAGUGUAUUCCCACUUAGUGGGGUCUGGGGGGGGUAAGAUGUACGCAGUCCAUACCUCUACCUCUGAUGAAGUAGAAAGGCUGUUUCCGAAAGACCCCCGGCUCAAGUCACGAGAUAUCACACAAACACAUAGUACAGCACAGAAGCAGAUGACAUAACAUAGAUACGACACCCAUAAGGAAUAUAAAACAGAGUAAAGCAGGAAUGCAGGAAUAUAAAGUAGAGGACAGCACACAUUUUCGUAAUAAACAUGGAACACGGAACACGGAACAUUGAAUACGGAAUCCUAACAGGAAUACCCCCCACCAAUU
Molecule: long non-coding RNA, 6916 nt
Filed under: Capsicum annuum
Lineage: Eukaryota; Viridiplantae; Streptophyta; Magnoliopsida; Solanales; Solanaceae
Description: long non-coding RNA (CANN_LNC004383)
Source: RNAcentral